Molecule: non-coding RNA, 1627 nt
Organism: Odocoileus virginianus texanus
Lineage: Eukaryota; Metazoa; Chordata; Mammalia; Artiodactyla; Cervidae
Source: RefSeq, a predicted model, not a curated record
GUGUUUAUCUUUUCCUCACUCACAGAAUCCAGUCAGUACUGUGCCCUACAGAUAGCAGGCACUCUAUUCCCUGGAGGUCAAUGGCCAUGGAAGAUGGUGUUGAUGAGUUAUUUUUGACAAGCCAUCAUUCUCUAACACAGUAGGAAUUCCAUAAUAUAGAUGUUUUAUGAUACUAUCCUAUUCAAUCAAAGACUUCAGAAUAAAACUUUUGGCAUUGGCUAAAGCUAAGGCAAGAACUGAUCAGAUAUCAUUAGUAGUAUUUUCAGUCAACAAGCUGUCACUGAUGUUGAAGUUACUUAAAAGACCUGUUUAAUCUGUGGUCUUAGCGCCAUUGUGACCUCAACCUGUAGCUAAAAUCAGUCCAGUGCAACAGGAGUUUCAAGAACAGCAGCACAAAAAUGAUGACUUAACUGAAUGGAACAAGAAGGCACAUAUUUUCAAGAAGAUCUUUUUUAUUCUUAGAAGUUUUCCUUCAAGAUGACAAGUGCUUCAAACUCUCCAGGAUCUUACUUAUCUUCCAAAACAAGUGUCUUUUCCCACAGAAGUUCUAAAUUAGAUGACAACUACUUGAAGCAGUUAAAUGAGGACUUAAAACUGAGGAAGCAGGAACUGCUAGAGAUACUAAAACCUCUAGAAGACAAGAACAACCUGUUGUUCCAGAAGUUGAUGUCUAACUUGGAGGAAAAACAAAGAAGUCUACAGAUUAUGAGGCAGAUCAUGGCAGGGAAGGAGAAUGAUGACUCCUCAGUCAUCGAGCUCGUUAAGGAAGCAGAAGAGAUGAAGCAGAAUCUGGAAAGGAAAAACAAGAUGCUUCGGAAAGAAAUGGAGAUGCUGUGGAACAAGACAUUCAACACAGAAGAAUUCAGUGAUGAAGAAAAAGUACUGCAGAUAAAGAACAAAUCAGACUUACAGGAUGGAAAGGCUCCCAAAAGCCCCUCAUCAUCUAGGAAGACCAAGAAUGAACUGGAGACAUUGUAUGCAGAGAAACUGAAGGAAAUAAGGAAGGAAAAGAAACAGAGGAGAAUGGAAUGGGUCAGGUAUCAGGAACAAGCCAACAUCAUUCAGAAUGACUUUAAAGGCAAAGUGAUUGAGCUGAGAAUUGAAGCCUUGAAGAACUACCAGAAGGCCAAUGAUCUGAAGUUAUCACUGUACAUACAGCAGAAUUUUGAGCCAAAGCAAGCAUUUUUUAAUCUUCCCAGAUCCCAAGAACCCUGAAUCUUUGAACUCUGAACUAGAACAGCCCAGAGAUCAACAUCUCCUUUUCUCUUCUCUCCUCUUAAGCUUCUGGAGUACUAAGUGAUAGGGCACUAACUGUUCAAUUACCACAAGUGCAUGUAGCCCCAGAUAAAUCAGGCGAUUAGGACAAGGAAUUAAAAAAUCAGGCAAUUGCACAAGGUGGUGAUUUUCUUGAAGUUGAAGUACUUAAAAGUGUUCCUGGAUAAUGUUCCUUUUCCUCUAGUUUCAAAAGAAUUGAAUUUCACAAACCUGUGUUAAAGAAUGGAUGGAAUGUAAUUUUGGACACACCUUCCAGCAAAUCAGGGUGCCGUGGACACUACAACUGUGAGAAGAGAAACUACCUGCAAAAAUGAAUCUAAUGUGAGAAUUCUGGGAUCAAAGACCUACACAG